This 478-nucleotide ribosomal RNA is filed under the name uncultured bacterium. RNAcentral's name for it is "partial 16S ribosomal RNA". It matches the Rfam family "Bacterial small subunit ribosomal RNA", at positions 28 to 523 of the family's 1533-position model. The record is from RNAcentral.
GACGAACGCUGGCGGCGUGCUUAACACAUGCAAGUCGAACGGUAAGGCCCUUCGGGGUACACGAGUGGCGAACGGGUGAGUAACACGUGGGUGAUCUGCCCUGCACUUCGGGAUAAGCCUGGGAAACUGGGUCUAAUACCGGAUAGGACUCCUGGCUUCAUGGUUGGGGGUGGAAAGCUUUUGCGGUGUGGGAUGGGCCCGCGGCCUAUCAGCUUGUUGGGGGGGUAAUGGCCUACCAAGGCGACGACGGGUAGCCGGCCUGAGAGGGUGACCGGGCACACUGGGACUGAGAUACGGCCCAGACUCCUACGGGAGGCAGCAGGGGGGAAUAUUGCACAAUGGGCGCAAGCCUGAUGCAGCGACGCCGCGUGAGGGAUGACGGCCUUCGGGUUGUAAACCUCUUUCAGCUAUGACGAAGCGCAAGUGACGGUAGUAGCAGAAGAAGGACCGGCCAACUACGUGCCAGCCGCCGCCGUAA